GGGGUUAUAGCUUAGUGGUGGAGCGCUUGCCUCACACGUAUGAGGCACUGGGUUUGAUCCUCAGUACCG
This 69-nucleotide transfer RNA is filed under the name Ictidomys tridecemlineatus (thirteen-lined ground squirrel). Its description in RNAcentral is "Spermophilus tridecemlineatus (thirteen-lined ground squirrel) tRNA". It matches the Rfam family "tRNA". Rfam says of the family: Transfer RNA (tRNA) molecules are approximately 80 nucleotides in length. Their secondary structure includes four short double-helical elements and three loops (D, anti-codon, and T loops). The record is from Rfam by way of RNAcentral. Lineage: Eukaryota; Metazoa; Chordata; Mammalia; Rodentia; Sciuridae.